AGCUCCAACCACUAUAUAUCACUCCAAAAUAGCAGUCAUAUUAUAAGUAAGGAUUUAAGUGCCGCGAUAUGAAAUUGUGCGAAAAAUUUACCGGUACAGUACGACAAGGUGCAUGCCGGGCUGUAUAGAUGCGUGCCGAUCACAAAAAAUUUAUGUGUACCGACACACAAUAGUAUGAAAUAUUUAUUUUUUUAGUAACAAAAUAUUCUAACUGUUUAUUAUGUAUUUUUAUCAAAUAUUUUAAGUUUUAUUGAGGAAAUUACUUACUAAUUUAAAGAAUAGAGAGUUUUAAGCGGUGACAUCGGCCCAAAGACUGUAUCUUGCCUAUAUUUUGUUGGUAUGAUACGAUAUGAUCGAUACGGCCCGUAUCGAUGGGCACUUAAAUCCUUGAUUAUAAGCCGGCAUCCACUCGGCUUAUAUUAUCCAUCCCAC
This 432-nucleotide long non-coding RNA is filed under the name Ananas comosus (pineapple). Its description in RNAcentral is "long non-coding RNA (ACOM_LNC002878)". The record is from RNAcentral. Lineage: Eukaryota; Viridiplantae; Streptophyta; Magnoliopsida; Poales; Bromeliaceae.